GGAUGAACGUUGGCGGCGUGCCUAAUACAUGCAAGUCGAACGAAGACUGUAGUAAUACUGUCUUAGUGGCGAACGGGUGAGUAACGCGUGGGUGACCUGCCCCGAAGUGUGGGAUAACAGUCCGAAAGGAUUGCUAAUACUGCAUAAUAUCCAAGAGAUUAGAUGCUUUUGGAUUAAAGGAGUAAUUCGCUUCGGGAGGGGCCCGCGUCCCAUCAGCUAGUUGGUAAGGUAAUGGCUUACCAAGGCGAUGACGGGUAGGGGACCUGAGAGGGUGGCCCCCCACAAUGGAACUGAAACACGGUCCAUACACCUACGGGUGGCAGCAGUAGGGAAUAUUAGUAAUGGGCGAAAGCCUGAACUAGCAACGCCGCGUGUGCGAAGAAGGCCUUCGGGUCGUAAAGCACUUUUUGAGAGGAUGAGGAAGGACGGUACUCUCAGAAUAAGUCUCGGCUAACUACGUGCCAGCAGCCGCGGUAACACGUAGGAGGCAAACGUUAUCCGGAUUUACUGGGCGUAAAGCGCGUGUAGGUGGUUUGGUAAGUAGGGCGUGAAAGCUCCUGGCUCAACUGGGAGAGGACGUUCUAAACUGCCAAGCUUGAGGAUGGUAGAGGGAGGUGGAAUUCCGGGUGUAGCGGUGGAAUGCGCAGAUAUCCGGAGGAACACCAGUGGCGAAGGCGGCCUCCUGGACCACUCCUGACACUCAGACGCGAAAGCUAGGGUAGCAAACGGGAUUAGAGACCCCGGUAGUCCUAGCCCUAAACGAUGUAGACUUGGCGUCGGUGGUUUAAUCGCCAUCGGUGUCGUAGCUAACGCGAUAAGUCUACCGCCUGGGGACUACGGCCGCAAGGUUAAAACUCAAAGGAAUUGACGGGUCCCCGCACAAGCAGCGGAGCGUGUGGUUUAAUUCGAUGCUACACGAAGAACCUUACCUGGGUUUGACAUAGAGGUAGUAGGGAAGCGAAAGCGGACCGACCCUUCGGGGAGCCUCUACAGGUGUUGCAUGGUUGUCGUCAGCUCGUGUCGUGAGAUGUUGGGUUAAGUCCCGCAACGAGCGCAACCCCUAUCCAAUGUUGCCAACAGGUAAAGCUGGGGACUCAUUGGAGACUGCCGGAGACGAUCUGGAGGAAGGUGGGGAUGAGGUCAAAUCAUCAUGGCCCUUAAGCCCUGGGCUACACACGCGCUACAAUGGCCGGUACAACGGGCAGCGAAGGAGCGAUCCGGAGCGAAUCCCAAAAAGCCGGCCCCAGUUGGAAUCGCAGGCUGCAACUCGCCUGCGUGAACAUGGAAUUGCCAGUAAUCGCGAAUCAGCUACGUCGCGGUGAAUACGUUCCCGGGCCU
This 1338-nucleotide ribosomal RNA is filed under the name uncultured bacterium. RNAcentral's name for it is "bacterial SSU rRNA". It matches the Rfam family "Bacterial small subunit ribosomal RNA", at positions 27 to 1381 of the family's 1533-position model. The record is from RNAcentral.